CCUACGGGAGGCUGCAGUGAGGAAUAUUGGUCAAUGGCCGCAGGGCUGAACCAGCCAAGUCGCGUGAGGGAUGACGGUCCUAUGGAUUGUAAACCUCUUUUGUCAGGGAGCAAAGGGCGCCACGUGUGGCGCUUUGCGAGUACCGUAAGAAAAAGCAUCGGCUAACUCCGUGCCAGCAGCCGCGGUAAUACGGAGGAUGCGAGCGUUCUCCGGAUUUAUUGGGGUUAAAGGGUGCGCAGGCGGAAUGUCAAGUCAGCGGUAAAAUUUUGGGGCUCAACCCCGUCGUGCCGUUGAAACUGGCGUUCUUGAGUGAGCGAGAAGUAUGCGGAAUGCGUGGUGUAGCGGUGAAAUGCAUAGAUAUCACGCAGAACUCCGAUUGCGAAGGCAGCAUACCGGCGCUCAACUGACGCUCAUGCACGAAAGCGUGGGUAUCGAACAGGAUUAGAUACCCCUGUAGUC
This 459-nucleotide ribosomal RNA is filed under the name uncultured bacterium. RNAcentral describes it as "partial 16S ribosomal RNA". It matches the Rfam family "Bacterial small subunit ribosomal RNA", at positions 338 to 795 of the family's 1533-position model. The record is from RNAcentral.